CCUACGGGAGGCAGCAGUGGGGAAUAUUGGACAAUGGGGGGAACCCUGAUCCAGCGACGCCGCGUGAGUGAAGAAGUAUUUCGGUAUGUAAAGCUCUAUCAGCAGGGAAGAAAAUGACGGUACCUGACUAAGAAGCCCCGGCUAACUGCGUGCCAGCAGCCGCGGUAAUACGUAGGGGGCAAGCGUUAUCCGGAUUUACUGGGUGUAAAGGGAGCGUAGACGGUGCAGCAAGUCUGAUGGGAAAGGUCGGGGCUCAACCCCGGGACUGCAUUUGAAACUGUUGAACUGGAGUACAGGAGAGGGAAGCGGAAUUCCUAGUGUAGCGGUGAAAUGCGUAGAUAUUAGGAGGAACACCAGUUGCGAAGGCGGCUUACUGGACUGUAACUGACGUUGAGGCUCGAAAGCGUGGGGAGCAAACAGGAUUAGAUACCCCUGUAGUC
This 440-nucleotide ribosomal RNA is filed under the name uncultured bacterium. RNAcentral's name for it is "partial 16S ribosomal RNA". It matches the Rfam family "Bacterial small subunit ribosomal RNA", at positions 338 to 795 of the family's 1533-position model. The record is from RNAcentral.